Molecule: ribosomal RNA, 292 nt
Filed under: uncultured bacterium
Lineage: Bacteria
Description: partial 16S ribosomal RNA
Rfam family: Bacterial small subunit ribosomal RNA
Source: RNAcentral
GUGUCAGCAGCCGCGGUAAGACAGAGGGCUCAAACGUUGUUCGGAAUUACUGGGCAUAAAGCGCACGCAGGCGGCUUGCUAAGUCGGGUGUGAAAUCCCUUGGCUCAACCGAGGAACUGCAUUCGAUACUGGUAGGCUCGAGGACGGGAGGGGUAAGCGGAACUCCAGGUGGAACGGUGAAAUGUGUAGAUAUCUGGAGGAACACCGGUGGCGAAAGCGGCUUACUGGCCCGUAUCUGACGCUCAUGUGCGAAAGCUAGGGGAGCAAACGGGAUUAGAUACCCUGGUAGUCC